This is a non-coding RNA of Gymnothorax javanicus (giant moray), 71 nucleotides long. The record is from the annotation of a GenBank genome assembly. Lineage: Eukaryota; Metazoa; Chordata; Actinopteri; Anguilliformes; Muraenidae.
AUUCAGCUAGCUUAGUGGCUAAAGCGCUGCACUCUGAUGUGAGAGAUGCGGGUUCAAACCCUGGUUGUGUG